CGAAUUGUGAAAUGAAGAGAGCUAUCCGUCGACAGUCAAGUUAAGACCGAUUGUAAUACUGUCAUGGAAUUGCUCUCUUUGUAUAACAUUCG
Molecule: non-coding RNA, 92 nt
Organism: Drosophila melanogaster (fruit fly)
Lineage: Eukaryota; Metazoa; Arthropoda; Insecta; Diptera; Drosophilidae
Gene: mir-281-2
Source: Ensembl